GAUCAUGGCUCAGGAUGAACGCUGGCGGCGUGCCUAACACAUGCAGGUCGAACGGAAUUUACAUGAAGCCUAGCGAUUGUAAAUUUAGUGGCGGACGGGUGAGUAACGCGUGGGUAACCUGCCUUGUACUGGGGGACAACAGUUGGAAACGACUGCUAAUACCGCAUAAGCGCACAGCUUCGCAUGGAGCAGUGUGAAAAACUCCGGUGGUACAAGAUGGACCCGCGUCUGAUUAGCUGG
This 240-nucleotide ribosomal RNA is filed under the name uncultured bacterium. RNAcentral's name for it is "partial 16S ribosomal RNA". It matches the Rfam family "Bacterial small subunit ribosomal RNA", at positions 15 to 248 of the family's 1533-position model. The record is from RNAcentral.